GAUGAACGCUAGCGACAGGCUUAACACAUGCAAGUCGAGGGGCAGCACAGGUAGCAAUACCGGGUGGCGACCGGCGCACGGGUGAGUAACGCGUAUGCAACUUACCUAUCAGAGGGGGAUAACCCGGCGAAAGUCGGACUAAUACCGCAUGAAGCAGGGGCCCCGCAUGGGGAUAUUUGCUAAAGAUUCAUCGCUGAUAGAUAGGCAUGCGUUCCAUUAGGCAGUUGGCGGGGUAACGGCCCACCAAACCGACGAUGGAUAGGGGUUCUGAGAGGAAGGUCCCCCACAUUGGUACUGAGACACGGACCAAACUCCUACGGGAGGCAGCAGUGAGGAAUAUUGGUCAAUGGGCGUAAGCCUGAACCAGCCAAGUCGCGUGAGGGAUGAAGGUUCUAUGGAUCGUAAACCUCUUUUAUAAGGGAAUAAAGUGCGGGACGUGUCCCGUUUUGUAUGUACCUUAUGAAUAAGGAUCGGCUAACUCCGUGCCAGCAGCCGCGGUAAUACGGAGGAUCCGAGCGUUAUCCGGAUUUAUUGGGUUUAAAGGGUGCGUAGGCGGCCUUUUAAGUCAGCGGUGAAAGUCUGUGGCUCAACCAUAGAAUUGCCGUUGAAACUGGGAGGCUUGAGUAUGUUUGAGGCAGGCGGAAUGCGUGGUGUAGCGGUGAAAUGCUUAGAUAUCACGCAGAACCCCGAUUGCGAAGGCAGCCUGCCAAGCCAUGACUGACGCUGAUGCACGAAAGCGUGGGGAUCAAACAGGAUUAGAUACCCUGGUAGUCCACGCAGUAAACGAUGAUCACUAGCUGUUUGCGAUACACAGUAAGCGGCACAGCGAAAGCGUUAAGUGAUCCACCUGGGGAGUACGCCGGCAACGGUGAAACUCAAAGGAAUUGACGGGGGCCCGCACAAGCGGAGGAACAUGUGGUUUAAUUCGAUGAUACGCGAGGAACCUUACCCGGGUUUGAACGCAUUCGGACCGAGGUGGAAACACCUUUUCUAGCAAUAGCCGUUUGCGAGGUGCUGCAUGGUUGUCGUCAGCUCGUGCCGUGAGGUGUCGGCUUAAGUGCCAUAACGAGCGCAACCCUUGCCACUAGUUACUAACAGGUGAUGCUGAGGACUCUGGUGGGACUGCCAGCGUAAGCUGCGAGGAAGGCGGGGAUGACGUCAAAUCAGCACGGCCCUUACAUCCGGGGCGACACACGUGUUACAAUGGCGUGGACAAAGGGAGGCCACCUGGCGACAGGGAGCGAAUCCCCAAACCACGUCUCAGUUCGGAUCGGAGUCUGCAACCCGACUCCGUGAAGCUGGAUUCGCUAGUAAUCGCGCAUCAGCCAUGGCGCGGUGAAUACGUUCCCGGGCCU
This 1355-nucleotide ribosomal RNA is filed under the name uncultured bacterium. RNAcentral's name for it is "bacterial SSU rRNA". It matches the Rfam family "Bacterial small subunit ribosomal RNA", at positions 28 to 1381 of the family's 1533-position model. The record is from RNAcentral.